UACGUAGGGAGCAAGCGUUGUCCGGAAUUACUGGGUGUAAAGGGUGCGUAGGCGGCCAUGUGGGUCAGACGUGAAAUGCACGAGCUUAACUCGUGAACUGCGUUUGAAACUACAUGGCUUGAGUAAAGUAGAGGCAGGCGGAAUUUCCGGUGUAGCGGUGAAAUGCGUAGAGAUCGGAAGGAACACCAGUGGCGAAGGCGGCCUGCUGGGCUUUUACUGACGCUGAGGCACGAAAGCAUGGGUAGCAAACAGG
This 253-nucleotide ribosomal RNA is filed under the name uncultured bacterium. RNAcentral's name for it is "partial 16S ribosomal RNA". It matches the Rfam family "Bacterial small subunit ribosomal RNA", at positions 524 to 776 of the family's 1533-position model. The record is from RNAcentral.